UGUUGUUAUGCAAAAGCCUGUGCUCUUGCCCUUUAUCUUCGAUAUGACCAAGUAUAAGAAGUAAGCGGCAACGCCGCAACGACGAUGGAUUUCAAUAUGCGAUGUUGCAGAUAGCAACACGCAAAGUUGUGUCUAUUCGCGGGCAGUAAGUUGAGUAUAUAAGGUUAAGAGCUUGUUACCACAGAUUCUGGACCUGAAGACAUGGAACAGUGAAGAUAGUGAAUAAGAACGAGACAAUGAAAUGAAAUGUCCAUCAAGCUGUCAGGAUUAAGAACUGUUAUCGAUGGACUUGUGCAAUAAUUAGUAAUGAUAAAAGUCAAAGUAGUAGCAUACAGGAUAUCAUAAAGAGAACGACAAAUUAAGUAACGAAAAUGUUUUCGUCAUAAUGAAAUUAUACUGCGCAGACCGGUCGAUGAUAG
Molecule: long non-coding RNA, 419 nt
Organism: Harpegnathos saltator (Jerdon's jumping ant)
Lineage: Eukaryota; Metazoa; Arthropoda; Insecta; Hymenoptera; Formicidae
Exons: 3
Source: RefSeq, a predicted model, not a curated record